AGCAGUCGCCACGGUAAUACGAAGGGUGCAAGCGUUACUCGGAAUUACUGGGCGUAAAGCGUGCGUAGGUGGUGGUUUAAGUCCGUUGUGAAAGCCCCGGGCUCAACCUGGGAAUUGCAGUGGAUACUGGGUCACUAGAGUGUGGUAGAGGAUAGUGGAAUUUCCGGUGUAGCAGUGAAAUGCGUAGAGAUCGGAAGGAACAUCUGUGGCGAAGGCGACUAUCUGGGCCAACACUGACACUGAGGCACGAAAGCGUGGGGAGCAAACAGGAUUAGAUACCCGCGUAGUCCCUGUCUCUUAUAC
RNAcentral lists this ribosomal RNA (303 nucleotides) under uncultured bacterium. Its description in RNAcentral is "partial 16S ribosomal RNA". It matches the Rfam family "Bacterial small subunit ribosomal RNA", at positions 507 to 807 of the family's 1533-position model. The record is from RNAcentral.